RNAcentral lists this ribosomal RNA (253 nucleotides) under uncultured Actinomycetales bacterium. RNAcentral's name for it is "partial 16S ribosomal RNA". It matches the Rfam family "Bacterial small subunit ribosomal RNA", at positions 76 to 334 of the family's 1533-position model. The record is from RNAcentral. Lineage: Bacteria; Bacillati; Actinomycetota; Actinomycetes; Actinomycetales.
CCCUUUGGGGGUACUCGAGUGGCGAACGGGUGAGUAACACGUGGGUGAUCUGCCCUGCACUUCGGGAUAAGCCUGGGAAACUGGGUCUAAUACCGGAUAGGACGAUGGUUUGGAUGCCAUUGUGGAAAGUUUUUCGGUGUGGGAUGAGCUCGCGGCCUAUCAGCUUGUUGGUGGGGUAAUGGCCUACCAAGGCGUCGACGGGUAGCCGGCCUGAGAGGGUGUACGGCCACAUUGGGACUGGGAUACGGCCCAG